RNAcentral lists this long non-coding RNA (786 nucleotides) under Mus spicilegus (steppe mouse). Its description in RNAcentral is "lncRNA (ENSMSIG00000021516.1)". The record is from RNAcentral. Lineage: Eukaryota; Metazoa; Chordata; Mammalia; Rodentia; Muridae.
UCUCCUCGCCCAGAGGUGCCUUUCCAAUGGCUCAGGCGAUUCUGACAUAUCCUUGGACAUCAACUCUGUGUGGCUAAGGCUCCAGUUAACAGAUGAGAAGAUUGCAAGUGCUAGACUCAAGGCAGCAGGGCACACACUGGCCCUCUUCUCACAGGUCCCCUCUACGUCCCUGCUCCCAAGGCAUCCCAGCAGUAACGACGGCCAGACCUCCAACCAGCUGCAGGCAGGAAGUCAAGGAGCGCCACCAGGCCUUGGGCUUGGCUAGUGCCCAUGUCUGCCAGGGAGGCCCAGCCCUGGCCUGCUCACUCCCAGCCUGGCCUCUCCUCCCUCCCCCACUUGGCUCAGCGGCAGCCCCUGGGCACUACUCACCGGUCUCCACUGGACCCGCUCUUGCACAGUGCCUGCGCGCGCACGCUGCCUCUGCCUGCAUGGUCUCCAUUCAUUCAUUCAAUAAACAUUUAUGGAACACCUACUAUGUACCAGGCACCGGCUAGGCCCACCCCCUCGGUUCUACCUGCAGUCUGCUCCUCCUCCAGGGUCCCAAGGGUGGGCAUUUUCCUGCCUUCCGAUAUCCUUAGGGUCGUUCCAAGGCAGGGCAGUAUGUCAGGGGACCUCUGGGGAGAAGCGGUGGCUCCGGGUUGGAGCACGCAGCCCACUGGGGUAUCCUGGCCUGUCAGGGGAAUACAUGGGCAGAAAAGGCGGCAACUAGGCCUGGAAGCUUUCCGGGAAGAUGGCUCAUCCCGGGGAAGCAGGCCUGUGAGCCUGUGCUGUUCUGAGCACUGCUAG